This 1014-nucleotide ribosomal RNA is filed under the name uncultured bacterium. Its description in RNAcentral is "bacterial SSU rRNA". It matches the Rfam family "Bacterial small subunit ribosomal RNA", at positions 359 to 1376 of the family's 1533-position model. The record is from RNAcentral.
GAAUAUUGGUCAAUGGGCGCGAGCCUGAACCAGCCAAGUAGCGUGAAGGAUGAAGGUCCUACGGAUUAUAAACUUCUUUUAUAAGGGAAUAAAGUCACCCACGUGUGGGUGUUUGUAUGUACCUUAUGAAUAAGCAUCGGCUAACUCCGUGCCAGCAGCCGCGGUAAUACGGAGGAUGCGAGCGUUAUCCGGAUUUAUUGGGUUUAGAGGGAGCGUAGACGGGCCGUUAAGUCAGCUGUGAAAGUUUGAGGCUCAACCUUAAAAUUGCAGUUGAUACUGGCGUCCUUGAGUACGGUUGAGGCAGGCGGAAUUCGUGGUGUAGCGGUGAAAUGCUUAGAUAUCACGAAGAACCCCGAUUGCGAAGGCAGCCUGCUAAACCGCCACUGACGUUGAGGCUCGAAAGUGUGGGUAUCAAACAGGAUUAGAUACCCUGGUAGUCCACACGGUAAACGAUGGAUACUCGCUGUUGGCGAUAGACUGUCAGCGGCUUAGCGAAAGCGUUAAGUAUCCCACCUGGGGAGUACGCCGGCAACGGUGAAACUCAAAGGAAUUGACGGGGGCCCGCACAAGCGGAGGAACAUGUGGUUUAAUUCGAUGAUACGCGAGGAACCUUACCCGGGCUUGAAUUGCAGACGAAUUGCUUGGAAACAGGCAAGCCGCAAGGCGUCUGUGAAGGUGCUGCAUGGUUGUCGUCAGCUCGUGCCGUGAGGUGUCGGCUUAAGUGCCAUAACGAGCGCAACCCUCGUGUCCAGUUACUAGCAGGUUAUGCUGAGGACUCUGGACAGACUGCCAUCGUAAGAUGUGAGGAAGGUGGGGAUGACGUCAAAUCAGCACGGCCCUUACGUCCGGGGCUACACACGUGUUACAAUGGGGGGUACAGCAGGCAGCUACCGGGCGACCGGAUGCCAAUCCCGAAAGCCUCUCUCAGUUCGGACUGGAGUCUGCAACCCGACUCCACGAAGCUGGAUUCGCUAGUAAUCGCGCAUCAGCCACGGCGCGGUGAAUACGUUCCCG